AUGAUGCACCAGAUGAUAACAAUAAUGGAUCCAAUGGCAUACCAGACAGAGGACGCGAACCGAAAAACAUGUCUCAUGUACGCGGCCGAGAAGCUCCAUCAAGCUCUUUUCGAUUGCAUUGAAGAAUUCUUCACCGAGUGGCACUGUGGCCGGACGAGUUGGACGAACAAGACCCCUCUCUUGUCAACCACAACAUUUACAAGGCAAGAGAGUGCCAUGUGUGUCGUCCACCUACUUCGGCAAUUCAAAGGGAACUCGUUGGCGAAACCGCUCACCAGGGCAACUAUUGCCAAUGAAAGGGAUUCAAUCAUCAUUGAGAUGAUACACAUGGAAGGCAACACCGCUUCCCUCCAGCUGGAAGGUCUUGACACGGUCGCCAAUGCCCUAAACGAGACGGUGGCAGAUUCAGGGGUCUAG
Molecule: ribosomal RNA, 417 nt
Filed under: Triticum aestivum (bread wheat)
Lineage: Eukaryota; Viridiplantae; Streptophyta; Magnoliopsida; Poales; Poaceae
Description: partial small subunit ribosomal RNA
Source: RNAcentral